This 296-nucleotide unclassified non-coding RNA is filed under the name Hevea brasiliensis (rubber tree). The record is from RNAcentral. Lineage: Eukaryota; Viridiplantae; Streptophyta; Magnoliopsida; Malpighiales; Euphorbiaceae.
GUGGCACCUGAAGUCCUCCAUAGAUCUUAUAGCACGGAGGCUGAUGUAUGGAGUAUAGGUGUUAUAGCAUAUAUUCUAUUGUGUGGUAGUCGUCCAUUUUGGGCCCGUAAUGAGUCCGGAAUUUUUCGGGCAGUCUUGAAAGCUGAUCCAAGUUUUGAUGAAGCACCUUGGCCUUCUUUAUCUCCGGAAGCAAAAGACUUUGUAAAACGCCUAUUGAACAAGGACCCCAGGAAGCGAAUGACUGCAGCUCAGGCCUUAGGUCAUCCCUGGAUCCGGAAUCAUAAUGAUGUAAAAGU